This 502-nucleotide ribosomal RNA is filed under the name uncultured bacterium. RNAcentral describes it as "partial 16S ribosomal RNA". It matches the Rfam family "Bacterial small subunit ribosomal RNA", at positions 30 to 523 of the family's 1533-position model. The record is from RNAcentral.
AUUGAACGCUGGCGGCAUGCCUUACACAUGCAAGUCGAACGGCAGCAUAGGAGCUUGCUCCUGAUGGCGAGUGGCGAACGGGUGAGUAAUAUAUCGGAACGUGCCCUAGAGUGGGGGAUAACUAGUCGAAAGACUAGCUAAUACCGCAUACGAUCUACGAAUGAAAGUGGGGGAUCGCAAGACCUCAUGCUCCUGGAGCGGCCGAUAUCUGAUUAGCUAGUUGGUGGGGUAAAAGCUCACCAAGGCGACGAUCAGUAGCUGGUCUGAGAGGACGACCAGCCACACUGGGACUGAGACACGGCCCAGACUCCUACGGGAGGCAGCAGUGGGGAAUUUUGGACAAUGGGGGCAACCCUGAUCCAGCAAUGCCGCGUGAGUGAAGAAGGCCUUCGGGUUGUAAAGCUCUUUUGUCAGGGAAGAAACAGUUCUGGAUAAUACCUGGGACUAAUGACGGUACCUGAAGAAUAAGCACCGGCUAACUACGUGCCAGCCGCCGCCGUAA